RNAcentral lists this ribosomal RNA (253 nucleotides) under uncultured bacterium. RNAcentral describes it as "partial 16S ribosomal RNA". It matches the Rfam family "Bacterial small subunit ribosomal RNA", at positions 524 to 776 of the family's 1533-position model. The record is from RNAcentral.
UACGGAGGGUGCAAGCGUUAUCCGGAAUCAUUGGGUUUAAAGGGUCCGUAGGCGGUUUUGUAAGUCAGUGGUGAAAGCCCAUCGCUCAACGGUGGAACGGCCAUUGAUACUGCAAAACUUGAAUUAUUGGGAAGUAACUAGAAUAUGUAGUGUAGCGGUGAAAUGCUUAGAUAUUACAUGGAAUACCAAUUGCGAAGGCAGGUUACUAUCAAUAUAUUGACGCUGAUGGACGAAAGCGUGGGGAGCGAACAGG